This 913-nucleotide ribosomal RNA is filed under the name uncultured bacterium. Its description in RNAcentral is "bacterial SSU rRNA". It matches the Rfam family "Bacterial small subunit ribosomal RNA", at positions 14 to 916 of the family's 1533-position model. The record is from RNAcentral.
UGAUUAUGGCUCAGAGUGAACGCUGGCGGCAGGCCUAACACAUGCAAGUCGAACGGCAGCACAGGGGAGCUUGCUCCCUGGGUGGCGAGUGGCGGACGGGUGAGGAAUACAUGGGAAUCUGCCCAAUCGUGGGGGAUAACGUAGGGAAACUUACGCUAAUACCGCAUACGACCUUAGGGUGAAAGCGGCGGACCGCAAGGCGUCGCGCGAUUGGAUGAGCCCAUGUCGGAUUAGCUAGUUGGCGGGGUAAAGGCCCACCAAGGCGACGAUCCGUAGCUGGUCUGAGAGGAUGAUCAGCCACACUGGAACUGAGACACGGUCCAGACUCCUACGGGAGGCAGCAGUGGGGAAUAUUGGACAAUGGGCGCAAGCCUGAUCCAGCCAUGCCGCGUGAGUGAAGAAGGCCUUCGGGUUGUAAAGCUCUUUUGUCCGGAAAGAAAAGCUUUCGGUUAAUACCCGGAAGUCCUGACGGUACCGGAAGAAUAAGCACCGGCUAACUUCGUGCCAGCAGCCGCGGUAAUACGAAGGGUGCAAGCGUUACUCGGAAUUACUGGGCGUAAAGCGUGCGUAGGUGGUUCGUUAAGUCUGAUGUGAAAGCCCUGGGCUCAACCUGGGAAUUGCAUUGGAUACUGGCGGGCUAGAGUGCGGUAGAGGAUGGCGGAAUUCCCGGUGUAGCAGUGAAAUGCGUAGAGAUCGGGAGGAACAUCCGUGGCGAAGCGGCCAUCUGGACCAGCACUGACACUGAGGCACGAAAGCGUGGGGAGCAAACAGGAUUAGAUACCCUGGUAGUCCACGCCCUAAACGAUGCGAACUGGAUGUUGGGUGCAACUAGGCACUCAGUAUCGAAGCUAACGCGUUAAGUUCGCCGCCUGGGGAGUACGGUCGCAAGACUGAAACUCAAAUGAAUUGACGG